Molecule: long non-coding RNA, 495 nt
Organism: Capsella rubella
Lineage: Eukaryota; Viridiplantae; Streptophyta; Magnoliopsida; Brassicales; Brassicaceae
Exons: 4
Source: RefSeq, a predicted model, not a curated record
UAAAAGUCAAAAAGUGUAAUAAGAAGUUUUUUUUGUUCGGAAACUUGCUAAUAUUAUUUUUUGGGUCUCUUCCUAUGAAAUGUUCUUGAUUCUCUCCACGAUGAAGCACAAAGUCUCCAAGAGAGUAAUCUCUCUCGAAUGGGUUCCAUUUCUCUGCAUCUCUUUCUUCGCUCUUGGAGCAAUCUUCACCUUCAUGUCGUGGGAGCCGUCGUCAUAUUGCUAAUUUCACAGCACCGUCGUGAUCAGGAACUUCAGAUUGUGUCAGACGAUUGUGCUCAUAAUAAACUUACAGCAGAAGAACUGUCUUGUGCUCCGGCUGAAGCUAUUAGAAGGAGCUUCCAUGGAAUUUGCAAGGGAGAUAAAGAAACAUCAAUCACCCAAAUCUCGUUUCUCUUCAACUGUAAAUCUAAAUACAGUUUGGAGACAAUAGGAUACUUAUUGUUGUAACUUGUAAAUCAAAUCUCAGCUCUCAAGUAAAGAUACUCAUUUGGCUUA